RNAcentral lists this ribosomal RNA (253 nucleotides) under uncultured bacterium. Its description in RNAcentral is "partial 16S ribosomal RNA". It matches the Rfam family "Bacterial small subunit ribosomal RNA", at positions 524 to 776 of the family's 1533-position model. The record is from RNAcentral.
UAGAGAGGGUGCAAGCGUUGUUCGGAAUUACUGGGCGUAAAGCGCGUGUAGGCGGUUUGGUAAGUCAGACGUGAAAUUCCUUGGCUCAACUGAGGAACUGCGUCUGAUACUGCCUGACUCGAGUGUCGGAGGGGAUGGUGGAAUUCCCGGUGUAGAGGUGAAAUUCGUAGAGAUCGGGAGGAACACCCGUGGCGAAGGCGACCAUCUGGAAGACAACUGACGCUGAGACGCGAAAGCGUGGGUAGCAAACAGG